RNAcentral lists this ribosomal RNA (246 nucleotides) under uncultured bacterium. RNAcentral describes it as "partial 16S ribosomal RNA". It matches the Rfam family "Bacterial small subunit ribosomal RNA", at positions 15 to 244 of the family's 1533-position model. The record is from RNAcentral.
GUUCCUGGCUCAGGACGAACGCUGGCGGCGUGCCUAACACAUGCAAGUCGAACGGAGAAUUUUAUUUCGGUAGAAUUCUUAGUGGCGAACGGGUGAGUAACGCGUAGGCAACCUGCCCUUUAGACGGGGACAACAUUCCGAAAGGAGUGCUAAUACCGGAUGUGAUCAUCGUGCCGCAUGGCAGGAUGAAGAAAGAUGGCCUCUACAAGUAAGCUAUCGCUAAAGGAUGGGCCUGCGUCUGAUUAG